Molecule: ribosomal RNA, 784 nt
Filed under: uncultured bacterium
Lineage: Bacteria
Description: bacterial SSU rRNA
Rfam family: Bacterial small subunit ribosomal RNA
Source: RNAcentral
CCUAUGGCUUAACCAUAGAACUGCUUGGGAAACUGAUAGUCUAGAGUGAGGGAGAGGCAGAUGGAAUUGGUGGUGUAGGGGUAAAAUCCGUAGAGAUCACCAGGAAUACCCCAUUGCGAAGGCGAUCUGCUGGAACUCAACUGACGCUAAUGCGUGAAAGCGUGGGGAGCAAACAGGAUUAGAUACCCUGGUAGUCCACGCCCUAAACGAUGUAUACUAGUUGUUGCUAAGCUAGUCUUGGCAGUAAUGCACCUAACGGAUUAAGUAUACCGCCUGGGGAGUACGGUCGCAAGAUUAAAACUCAAAGGAAUAGACGGGGACCCGCACAAGCGGUGGAGCAUGUGGUUUAAUUCGAAGAUACGCGAAGAACCUUACCCGGACUUGAUAUCUAACAAAUCAUCUAGAGAUAGAAGAGUGUCUGCUUGCAGAAAUGUUAAGACAGGUGCUGCACGGCUGUCGUCAGCUCGUGUCGUGAGAUGUUGGGUUAAGUCCCGCAACGAGCGCAACCCACGUCAUUAGUUGCUAACAGUUCGGCUGAGCACUCUAAUGAGACUGCCUUCGUAAGGAGGAGGAAGGUGUGGACGACGUCAAGUCAUCAUGGCCCUUAUGUCCGGGGCGACGCACGUGCUACAAUGGCAUAUACAAUGAGAAGCAAUAUCGCGAGAUGGAGCAAAUCUAUAAAAUAUGUCCCAGUUCGGAUUGGAGUCUGCAACUCGACUCCAUGAAGCCGGAAUCGCUAGUAAUCGUAGAUCAGCCAUGCUACGGUGAAUACGUUCCCGGGUCU